AGAGUUUGAUCCUGGCUCAGAACGAACGCUGGCGGCGUGGAUAAGACAUGCAAGUCGAACGGGAUCUUGGGUGUAGCAAUACAACCAAGGUUCAGUGGCGCAAGGGUGAGUAACACGUGGGCAAUUUGCCGGAAAGUGGGGAAUAGCUCGCCGAAAGGCGAAUUAAUACCGCAUGUGGCCAUUCUCCGCAUGGAGAAGAAGCUAAAGCUGGGGAUCGCAAGACCUGGCGCUUUCCGAUGAGCCCGCGGCCUAUCAGCUUGUUGGCGGGGUAAUGGCCCACCAAGGCAAUGACGGGUAGCUGGUCUGAGAGGACGACCAGCCACACUGGAACUGAGACACGGUCCAGACACCUACGGGUGGCAGCAGUCGAGAAUCUUUCUCAAUGGGGGAAACCCUGAAGGAGCGACGCCGCGUGGAGGAUGAAGGUCUUCGGAUUGUAAACUCCUGUCAUGAGAGAACAAGGCCUCCCGGUGAAUAGCCGGAAGGAUUGAUAGUAUCUCAAGAGGAAGAGACGGCUAACUCUGUGCCAGCAGCCGCGGUAAUACAGAGGUCUCAAGCGUUGUUCGGAUUCAUUGGGCGUAAAGGGUGCGUAGGCGGUGAGGUAAGUCGGGCGUGAAAUCCCGGGGCUCAACCCCGGAACUGCGUUCGAUACUGCUUCGCUAGAGGACUGGAGAGGAGACUGGAAUUCACGGUGUAGCAGUGAAAUGCGUAGAUAUCGUGAGGAACACCGGUGGCGAAGGCGGGUCUCUAGACAGCUCCUGACGCUGAGGCACGAAGGCCAGGGGAGCAAACGGGAUUAGAUACCCCGGUAGUCCUGGCAGUAAACGGUGCACGUUUGGUGUGGGAGGAUUCGACCCCUUCCGUGCCGGAGCUAACGCGUUAAACGUGCCGCCUGGGGAGUACGGUCGCAAGAUUAAAACUCAAAGAAAUUGACGGGGGCCCGCACAAGCGGUGGAGUAUGUGGCUUAAUUCGAUGCAACGCGAAGAACCUUACCUGGCCUUGACAUGGUGGGAUUAGGCGGAUGAAAGUCUGCUGAUUGCCCGCAAGGGUGUAACCAUCACAGGUGCUGCAUGGCUGUCGUCAGCUCGUGUCGUGAGAUGUUGGGUUAAGUCCCGCAACGAGCGCAACCCCUGUGAACUGUUGCCACCCCUCUUUCGGGAGGGCGCACUCUGUUCAGACUGCCCUGUUAAACGGGGAGGAAGGUGGGGAUGACGUCAAGUCAGUAUGGCCCUUACGGCCAGGGCUGCACACGUACUACAAUGCCCAGUACAGAACGAACCGAAACCGCGAGGUGGAGGAAAUCCCUAAAACUGGGCCCAGUUCGGAUUGGAGGCUGCAACUCGCCUCCAUGAAGCCGGAAUCGCUAGUAAUGGCGCAUCAGCUACGGCGCCGUGAAUACGUUCCCGGGCCUUGUACACACCGCCCGUCACAUCAUGGAAGUCACUUGUAGCCGAAGUGCGCACGCUAACCGCAAGGAGGCAGCGCCCUACGCUAUGAGUGGUAACUGGGAUGAAGUCGUAACAAGGUAGCCG
This 1533-nucleotide ribosomal RNA is filed under the name uncultured Xiphinematobacteriaceae bacterium. RNAcentral's name for it is "bacterial SSU rRNA". It matches the Rfam family "Bacterial small subunit ribosomal RNA". Lineage: Bacteria; Pseudomonadati; Verrucomicrobiota; Spartobacteria. The record is from RNAcentral.